CCGGAUACCCCGGGCUGCCGCAUGACACCCCGGCUAAAGCCCCGACGGGAGGGGAUGGCUCCGCGGCCCAUCAGGUAGACGGCGGGGUGACGGCCCACCGUGCCGACAACGGGUAGCCGGGUUGAGAGACCGACCGGCCAGAUUGGGACUGAGACACGGCCCAGACUCCUACGGGAGGCAGCAGUGGGGAAUCUUGCGCAAUGGGGGGAACCCUGACGCAGCGACGCCGCGUGCGGGACGGAGGCCUUCGGGUCGUAAACCGCUUUCAGCAGGGAAGAGUCAAGACUGUACCUGCAGAAGAAGCCCCGGCUAACUACGUGCCAGCAGCCGCGGUAAUACGUAGGGGGCGAGCGUUAUCCGGAUUCAUUGGGCGUAAAGCGCGCGUAGGCGGCCCGGCAGGCCGGGGGUCGAAGCGGGGGGCUCAACCCCCCGAAGCCCCCGGAACCUCCGCGGCUUGGGUCCGGUAGGGGAGGGUGGAACACCCGGUGUAGCGGUGGAAUGCGCAGAUAUCGGGUGGAACACCGGUGGCGAAGGCGGCCCUCUGGGCCGAGACCGACGCUGAGGCGCGAAAGCUGGGGGAGCGAACAGGAUUAGAUACCCUGGUAGUCCCAGCCGUAAACGAAGGGCGCUAGGUGUGGGGGGACGAUCCCCCCGUGCC
RNAcentral lists this ribosomal RNA (658 nucleotides) under uncultured bacterium. RNAcentral's name for it is "partial 16S ribosomal RNA". It matches the Rfam family "Bacterial small subunit ribosomal RNA", at positions 169 to 847 of the family's 1533-position model. The record is from RNAcentral.